Non-coding RNA from Triticum aestivum (bread wheat), 73 nucleotides. The record is from Rfam. NCBI's taxonomy places the organism in Eukaryota, Viridiplantae, Streptophyta, Magnoliopsida, Poales, Poaceae.
ACCUACUUGACUCGGCGGUUAGGGUAUCACUUUCAUACGACAAGAGUCAUUGGUUCAAAUCCAAUAGUAGGUA